Mya arenaria is the source of this 1563-nucleotide long non-coding RNA. RefSeq lists it as uncharacterized. Lineage: Eukaryota; Metazoa; Mollusca; Bivalvia; Myida; Myidae. The transcript has 3 exons. The record is from RefSeq and is a predicted model, not a curated record.
AGGUCUAAGUUUUAAUAUUGUGGUUAUCUCCCUUUGACCAUUCAAGACUAUUGAAAGUAUAAUGACCUAUGUGACCUUUUCUGGUCAUCAGGUGUGACCAGUUCUUUGCUUAGUUUUGGAGGGAAUUUGAGGUCAUUGUUCACCUGACUUCUGUGGUAGCCACUACUGGUAGGCACAGCUGAUGUAUUUUAUAUGAUGUAACUUUCAAGACAUUUCAAGAGGUUAGUCAUGGUAUUAUUUCUAGUUCUUUAUGAUUGCAGUUGAAUUGUUGUUUGUAUUUAAAUUGUAGUUAUUGCAUUGUUUUACAAUUCAACAUGGCGGCAUAUAAAUGUAUAUUGUGUAUUCUUGGCAUGAAGAUACCACAUUCUUCUGUGCACUUAUCACAUUCUUAUUUUUACAACCAGACAGACUAACACGGGCACAGUUUGGAUGAUACAGAACGGAGAGUGAGUUGUAGUAAUAGACUACCCGAUCCACAAUCGGUAUGUAAAAUGUAUUGUUGCUGUGUUAGUUGUGUGCUUUAUGUGUUUUAUAGUUUUCUAUGUAUUUUAGCAAUGAUCACGGCCACUAGGUUAUCUCAGCUAAACUAUUCAAUUGAGUUGAAUAGUUGUUAUGACUUAUAUUUUAUUUAGAAGUCAUUAAUUUAUUUCUAUUGAUAAUAUAUAUGAAUAACUAUGUAUUAAUUCUUUAUAUUAUGCUUAUGAUUGUUAUUUCUGUAUUUUCAGAGUACGUCAUAUUAUACUACUCGUAUUGGAUAUUAUGCUACAUUAAAAGUUGAAGUGUGAGCAGCUUUGAGUUUUCUUAGAACACCACGCUAGGAUAUAUAAUGAACCUUUAACUGACAAGUUAGUCCGGAAAUAUUGGCGCCCAACCAUAUGGAUUAUUCUAGCAACAUUUAAGUGCCAGUGUUACAUCUAUAUCAGUCUGUUUCUGAACUUUCCUUAAAAAUUUAUACAACGAAAACAUAUCUGAUUGUUUAAAAUUCCUCAGGAGGGAACUUAACUCGCAUAAAGAGUAAGACAUUUGAGCUGAGGAAUAGUUUUCAAGAAGAAAACUUAAUAACUUUAUGUAUGGUUGAGGACACUCAUUUUAGUGCUAGGGAGGAACAGUGACGGGCAUUUACUCAAUAUUAUAUAUUGGGAGGACAUUUCGGACGUUGGAACAUAGGACGCUUUGGUCGUGAGAACUUCGCCGAUACGGUCGUUGGAGCCCAUGAACGUUUCGGAGCCUAGGACGUUUUCGUUCGUUAGAGUGCAUCAGGAUACAUCAGGAUAGGAACCAGGAGGACAUGUUUUAAAAGUGAACACUGAACAUUGUGUAAUAUAGUGACAUUUUAUCUAGUGGCCAUAUUUACAGUUUUCCUAAACAACAGCGUACAGACUAACACGGGCACAGUUUGGAUGAUACAGAACGGAGAGUGAGUUGUAGUAAUAGACUACCCGAUCCACAAUCGAGUACGUCAUAUUAUACUACUCGUAUUGGAUAUUAUGCUACAUUAAAAGUUGAAGUGUGAGCAGCUUUGAGUUUCCUUAGAACACCACGCUAGGAUAUAUAAUGAACCUU